Molecule: ribosomal RNA, 354 nt
Filed under: Geckolepis humbloti
Lineage: Eukaryota; Metazoa; Chordata; Lepidosauria; Squamata; Gekkonidae
Description: partial 12S ribosomal RNA
Rfam family: Bacterial small subunit ribosomal RNA
Source: RNAcentral
ACAAGCGAAAAGCUUAAAACUCAAAAGACUUGACGGUGUUCCAUACCGACCUAGAGGAGCCUGUCCUAUAAUCGACACCCCACGAUAAACCUCACCCCCACUUGAAAAAACAACCUAUAUACCGCCGUCGUCAGCCUGCCCCGCAAAAGAAAAAUAGCAGACAAAAUAGUACUACAACCUCACUAAAACGUCAGGUCAAGGUGUAGCCAAUGCGGGGGAAAGAGAUGGGCUACAUUCUCUAACACUAGAGCACCACCACAAGCAACAUGAAACAUGCGCCCGAAGCUGGAUUUAGCAGUAAAAGCGGCAAGAAAGCCCCAUUGAAGCCCGCCCUGGAACGCGUACACACCGCCC